Molecule: ribosomal RNA, 410 nt
Filed under: bacterium A10G2
Lineage: Bacteria
Description: bacterial SSU rRNA
Rfam family: Bacterial small subunit ribosomal RNA
Source: RNAcentral
CGGGAUGUAAAGCACUUUAGUUUAGGAAGAUUGUGUGUGGGUUAAAUGACCAAACGCUUGACGUGUACGAAUUGAAGGAGCACCUUGCUAACUUCGUGGCAGCAGCCACGGUUAGACGGAGGGUGCAAUCGUUUGUCGGAAUUACUGGGGGUUUAACGGGCAUACGCAGAUGCUUACGUCUGAUGUGAAGUCUCCGGGGUUGACCUGGGAACUGCAUUGAAUACUGGGCGUCUAGAGUAGGGUACAGGGUGGCGGAAUUUCUGUGUGUAGGAAUUGAAAUGCGUAGAUAUGUGGAGGAAUACCGAUGGCGAAGGCCUCCCCCUGAGUUAACACUGACUCUCAUGCACGAAAGCGUGGGGAGCAAACAGGAUUAGAUACCCUGGUAGUCCACGCCCUAAACGAUGUCAACU